UUUCCUUUAGCUUAACUUAAAGCGUUAGUUUGAAGCACUGAAGAUAACUUUAGUUAGGGAGGU
This 63-nucleotide transfer RNA is filed under the name Anindobothrium anacolum. RNAcentral describes it as "tRNA-Phe". Lineage: Eukaryota; Metazoa; Platyhelminthes; Cestoda; Phyllobothriidea; Phyllobothriidae. The record is from RNAcentral.